RNAcentral lists this ribosomal RNA (474 nucleotides) under Salmonella enterica. RNAcentral describes it as "bacterial SSU rRNA". It matches the Rfam family "Bacterial small subunit ribosomal RNA", at positions 1 to 471 of the family's 1533-position model. The record is from RNAcentral. RNAcentral also lists the same sequence under 1 other name. Lineage: Bacteria; Pseudomonadati; Pseudomonadota; Gammaproteobacteria; Enterobacterales; Enterobacteriaceae.
AAAUUGAAGAGUUUGAUCAUGGCUCAGAUUGAACGCUGGCGGCAGGCCUAACACAUGCAAGUCGAACGGUAACAGGAAGCAGCUUGCUGCUUUGCUGACGAGUGGCGGACGGGUGAGUAAUGUCUGGGAAACUGCCUGAUGGAGGGGGAUAACUACUGGAAACGGUGGCUAAUACCGCAUAACGUCGCAAGACCAAAGAGGGGGACCUUCGGGCCUCUUGCCAUCAGAUGUGCCCAGAUGGGAUUAGCUUGUUGGUGAGGUAACGGCUCACCAAGGCGACGAUCCCUAGCUGGUCUGAGAGGAUGACCAGCCACACUGGAACUGAGACACGGUCCAGACUCCUACGGGAGGCAGCAGUGGGGAAUAUUGCACAAUGGGCGCAAGCCUGAUGCAGCCAUGCCGCGUGUAUGAAGAAGGCCUUCGGGUUGUAAAGUACUUUCAGCGGGGAGGAAGGUGUUGUGGUUAAUAACCGCA